GAUGAACGCUGGCGGCGUGCCUAAUACAUGCAAGUCGAGCGAACGGACGAGAAGCUUGCUUCUCUGAUGUUAGCGGCGGACGGGUGAGUAACACGUGGAUAACCUACCUAUAAGACUGGGAUAACUUCGGGAAACCGUAGCUAAUACCGGAUAAUAUUUUGAACCGCAUGGUUCAAAAGUGAAAGACGGUCUUGCUGUCACUUAUAGAUGGAUCCGCGCUGCAUUAGCUAGUUGGUAAGGUAACGGCUUACCAAGGCAACGAUGCAUAGCCGACCUGAGAGGGGGGCGAGCCACACGGGAACUGGGACACGGUCCAGAGUACUACGGGAGGCAGCAGUGGGGAAUAUUGGGCGAUGGUCGGAAGACUGAUCCAGUCAGACAGCGUGGAUGAAGAAGGCCUUAGGAUCGUAAAGCCCUUUGGUUGGGAAAGAAAAGAAGCAGGAGAACAACCGGCGGUUCUGACGGUACCGAAAGAGAAAGCACCGGAUAACUUCGGG
Molecule: ribosomal RNA, 497 nt
Filed under: uncultured bacterium
Lineage: Bacteria
Description: partial 16S ribosomal RNA
Rfam family: Bacterial small subunit ribosomal RNA
Source: RNAcentral